AAAUGAAACUUGAUUAUCUGAUGCUUGAUUUAACUAAAAAAAAAACUAUUAGGGAAGACAAGUACAUGUAAGAAGUUUUUAAUGCGUUUCAUUUACUCUUAUAUUAUUUCUAAUAUUAUUUUUGAUAACUAUAAUAAUUAUUAUGUUUUCAUUAUAAUUGCAGCUA
Molecule: small RNA, 166 nt
Filed under: Arabidopsis thaliana (thale cress)
Lineage: Eukaryota; Viridiplantae; Streptophyta; Magnoliopsida; Brassicales; Brassicaceae
Description: ATSL093600
Source: RNAcentral